AGUGAACGCUGGCGGUAGGCCUAACACAUGCAAGUCGAACGGCAGCACAGUAAGAGCUUGCUCUUACGGGUGGCGAGUGGCGGACGGGUGAGGAAUACAUCGGAAUCUACUUUUUCGUGGGGGAUAACGUAGGGAAACUUACGCUAAUACCGCAUACGACCUACGGGUGAAAGCAGGGGAUCUUCGGACCUUGCGCGAUUGAAUGAGCCGAUGUGGGAUUAGCUAGUUGGCGGGGUAAAGGCCCACCAAGGCGACGAUCCGUAGCUGGUCUGAGAGGAUGAUCAGCCACAAUGGAACUGAGACACGGUCCAGACUACUACGGGAGGCAGCAGUGGGGAAUAUUGGACAAUGGGCGCAAGCCUGAUCCAGCCAGACCGCGUGGGUGAAGAAGGCCUUCGGGUUGUAAAGCCCUUUUGUUGGGAAAGAAAAGCAGCAGGUUAAUACCCCGCUGUUCUGACGGUACCCAAAGAAUAAGCACCGGCUAACUUCGUG
RNAcentral lists this ribosomal RNA (492 nucleotides) under uncultured bacterium. RNAcentral's name for it is "partial 16S ribosomal RNA". It matches the Rfam family "Bacterial small subunit ribosomal RNA", at positions 29 to 507 of the family's 1533-position model. The record is from RNAcentral.